GGGCCCGUAGUCUAGUGGUAGGACAUCACCCUCACAUGGUGGAAGCCCUGGUUCAAUUCCUGGCGGGCCCACCA
This 74-nucleotide transfer RNA is filed under the name Candidatus Bathyarchaeota archaeon. Its description in RNAcentral is "tRNA-Val". It matches the Rfam family "tRNA". Rfam says of the family: Transfer RNA (tRNA) molecules are approximately 80 nucleotides in length. Their secondary structure includes four short double-helical elements and three loops (D, anti-codon, and T loops). Further hydrogen bonds mediate the characteristic L-shaped molecular structure. tRNAs have two regions of fundamental functional importance: the anti-codon, which is responsible for specific mRNA codon recognition, and the 3' end, to which the tRNAs corresponding amino acid is attached (by aminoacyl-tRNA synthetases). tRNAs cope with the degeneracy of the genetic code in two manners: having more than one tRNA (with a specific anti-codon) for a particular amino acid; and 'wobble' base-pairing, i.e. permitting non-standard base-pairing at the 3rd anti-codon position. Lineage: Archaea; Thermoproteati; Candidatus Bathyarchaeota. The record is from RNAcentral.